CCUAAACGAUUGGAAAACACUGUUUUACCAGUUAAAAUAUCUCCGCCGCUUUUUCAGAAACCGACUGGCCGCCAUCAAGCGCAUCCGCCUGCCGCCGAAGCAUCUCUGCCCUCAGUUUCUCAAACGCACGCUGGAUCCUCUCCUUUGACUCAGGGUCCUUCCCUAUUGUCCUCCGGGCGGAAUAAACGCCAGUGAUAAGUCCCGUUUCUCCACCCAUAAACAACCCCCCAGCUGCGAACAAUGUAAACAUCACCAUGUCGCUGAGUAUUGUGGGUCGGAGCAGAGGGCUCAGAUCAGGAACCGGCUCUUGUCCAAAGUAGAUACGAAGGAAUUGUUAGUUCAAACCUAUCAAAUAAUCCCUAAGGAAGAUCUUUUGUUCAUCUUUGUCAUUCCUACCUAGCCUGCCGCUUGCAAACUGCACAUGAGUGGGCCUCUCCAUAACCUUGAAUGUAUUGAAUAUAUUCAUCCGCAUUCGCCGGACCCGUAAACCCAACCAUAUUCCCAGCCCAAUACCAACGACAGAACCGACGGCAGUGUGUGUUGCUAGCUUCGAUGCGGCGGAAUUCAGGGUAUCACGGUCCGAUUGCUGGAGAUUAUGCUUCAGAUGUUCCCGCCCCAGAUAGGCAAGCUCCUGGCGGGUCGUGCCGCGGAAGGCCGCGAGCGAAUCGGGCAUUUUGUUUCUAGAUCUUUAUUUUCCGGCUUACCCUAACGGGAUAUAGAUAUGGUACCCUUGGAAAUUGGGAAGGAAAGGCGUAUUCGCGACCAAUUCAAUUGUGGCCAUAAUUUCAUAAUGGUUAUUGUGAUGAGGGUUGAGCAGGCGGAGCUAUAUAAGCUCCUGAAUCUGUGACGUCAUCAUGCAAGCUUCUGAGAUCCAGACUUAGCUUGGUACUGUACAUUUCGUUCAUGAUUUUAAUAGCGUUGCCCAAAGAGAACGUCGUAUCUUGAAACAAAUUAAAUUUGAAUGCGGAGA
Molecule: small RNA, 970 nt
Filed under: Histoplasma capsulatum var. duboisii H88
Lineage: Eukaryota; Fungi; Ascomycota; Eurotiomycetes; Onygenales; Ajellomycetaceae
Description: Histoplasma capsulatum H88 hypothetical RNA
Source: RNAcentral